This 92-nucleotide transfer RNA is filed under the name Perca flavescens (yellow perch). It matches the Rfam family "tRNA". Rfam says of the family: Transfer RNA (tRNA) molecules are approximately 80 nucleotides in length. Lineage: Eukaryota; Metazoa; Chordata; Actinopteri; Perciformes; Percidae. The record is from Rfam by way of RNAcentral. RNAcentral also lists the same sequence under 1 other name.
GGCUCUGUGGCGCAAUGGAUAGCGCGUUGGACUUCUAGCUGAGCACUGGGGAAGUGAUUCAAAGGUUGUGGGUUCGAGUCCCACCAGAGUCG